GAUGAACGCUGGCGGCGUGCUUAACACAUGCAAGUCGAACGAUGAAGCCCAGCUUGCUGGGUGGAUUAGUGGCGAACGGGUGAGUAACACGUGAGUAACCUGCCCUUGACUCUGGGAUAAGCCCGGGAAACUGGGUCUAAUACCGGAUAGGAGCGCCUGUCGCAUGACGGGUGUUGGAAAGAUUUUUCGGUCAUGGAUGGACUCGCGGCCUAUCAGCCUGUUGGUGAGGUAAUGGCUCACCAAGGCGACGACGGGUAGCCGGCCUGAGAGGGUGACCGGCCACACUGGGACUGAGACACGGCCCAGACUCCUACGGGAGGCAGCAGUGGGGAAUAUUGCACAAUGGGCGGAAGCCUGAUGCAGCGACGCCGCGUGAGGGAUGACGGCCUUCGGGUUGUAAACCUCUUUCAGUAGGGAAGAAGCGAAAGUGACGUACCUGCAGAAAGAG
RNAcentral lists this ribosomal RNA (448 nucleotides) under Micrococcus sp. oral taxon F54. RNAcentral describes it as "bacterial SSU rRNA". It matches the Rfam family "Bacterial small subunit ribosomal RNA", at positions 28 to 490 of the family's 1533-position model. Lineage: Bacteria; Bacillati; Actinomycetota; Actinomycetes; Micrococcales; Micrococcaceae. The record is from RNAcentral.